AAUGGUUGUCCGUAGUAUGGUC
Molecule: microRNA, 22 nt
Filed under: Canis lupus familiaris (dog)
Lineage: Eukaryota; Metazoa; Chordata; Mammalia; Carnivora; Canidae
Source: RNAcentral